This 253-nucleotide ribosomal RNA is filed under the name uncultured bacterium. Its description in RNAcentral is "partial 16S ribosomal RNA". It matches the Rfam family "Bacterial small subunit ribosomal RNA", at positions 524 to 776 of the family's 1533-position model. The record is from RNAcentral.
UACGGAGGGGGCUAGCGUUGUUCGGAAUUACUGGGCGUAAAGCGCACGUAGGCGGCUUUGUAAGUUAGAGGUGAAAGCCCGGAGCUUAACUCCGGAACUGCCUUUAAGACUGCAUCGCUCGAAUCAUGGAGAGGUCAGUGGAAUUCCGAGUGUAGAGGUGAAAUUCGUAGAUAUUCGGAAGAACACCAGUGGCGAAGGCGACUUACUGGACACGUAUUGACGCUGAGGUGCGAAAGCGUGGGGAGCAAACAGG